RNAcentral lists this ribosomal RNA (253 nucleotides) under uncultured bacterium. RNAcentral describes it as "partial 16S ribosomal RNA". It matches the Rfam family "Bacterial small subunit ribosomal RNA", at positions 524 to 776 of the family's 1533-position model. The record is from RNAcentral.
UACAGAGGGGGCAAGCGUUAUUCGGAAUUAUUGGGCGUAAAGGGCGCGUAGGCGGCUUUGCAAGUGGCGGGUGAAAUCCCUCGGCUUAACCGAGGAACUGCCUGUCAAACUGCAUGGCUUGAGACCGGGAGAGGUGAGUGGAAUUCCCAGUGUAGCGGUGAAAUGCGUAGAUAUUGGGAGGAACACCAGUGGCGAAGGCGGCUCACUGGACCGGCACUGACGCUGAUGCGCGAAAGCGUGGGGAGCAAACAGG